RNAcentral lists this long non-coding RNA (218 nucleotides) under Elaeis guineensis (African oil palm). Its description in RNAcentral is "long non-coding RNA (EGUI_LNC062821)". Lineage: Eukaryota; Viridiplantae; Streptophyta; Magnoliopsida; Arecales; Arecaceae. The record is from RNAcentral.
AAAAAAUUUGAGAUUGUUUAUCGAACAUUGAUUUUGAUCUUAGAUUUUUAAACUCAAAUAUUUAUCUAUGGAGAAUGUGGUAAAAUUUAUUUAUGAUCUUGUGAUAAAUUGAUUAAAUCAUAAGUAGUUAAAGAUUUUUUAUGAGAAAUUUAAUAUCUUUAUCUAGAAUUGAGAGAUUAAUUUUUGUUGCUCCUAGAUUGAUUUUGAUGAUUACAAAG